ACGUGUGUCUGAGAUAGACUGAUUAAGGCGGUUGAGAGCUGCGGUUCAGAUUCAGAAGCGGAAUCUUUCUGUGUUCCCCUGGAAUAAUUCACAUAUGCCACGAAUGUGAUUUCUGCAAGCCUUGUAUCCGUGUGUGCCCAACGCUGGAUCCCGCAGGCAUGCCGGCGGUCUGUUGCGCACUGUCCAUCUGAAGGCUCUGCGAGGGUCCCUGAGUCCUCUCCACGAGAUCCGGAUCAGAACCAUGCAGGCGGUGACCCCGGCGGUGCCGUAGACCAGAGCCCAGUACAGUAAGGACAGCAACCACAGACACACCCGGGUAGGGAAAAGUAUAACGGACAGGGUCGUGCCGCUCAUGACUCCUGGUGUCAGAAAACACGAGUGAUGGAUCAUGGAGCAACUUCACUGUUGUCUAACGGUCCUAGAUUGCUACGCUACACGUUCAACAUACAUCCACCAGUUCGCGUUGCUACGCAACUUGCAAACCAACUUAAUGAUAGAAAGUAGCGUUUAUAACCACUGACAGAAUGUUAAGAAUACUUACUGAAGCCGUAUUCCACACUUUCCGGGGAACUUUGCUCAUAAAUUGGUCCGGAACGAGCAGGACCUUCCACUAGGUUAUAAAUAAAUCUCACUUGCUUGCUAUCCAAGUAGGUUGGACGUUUCUGAAAACCAAUCGCGACCUUCCUCCCCACAGUCGCUUGGUCCAUGCAUCUGAAGGGUAGUGAAGUGACGGGUAGCUUAUAUACAUUUAGUUCGGUGGACUAAUACAGUUUAUCAUUAAUUCAUUAAAGAGUUGUUUUUUUCCCACAACAGGCCAUAAACACACUAUGAUAUGUGGGUACCCGAAAUGCACAAAGUUACACAGUCGAAUCGUAGGUCACCAAUAACUUCUCCCCUUGGUUUUCAGUUUCAUGGCAAUCGUAAUUCAAAAUGUCAGUUUAAUAGUUUACCGGAUUCCACGUCUCUUAUUCGAUUGUCUUUAAGUCGGCUAUUAAAAUGAGUUUUAAACUCCCGCGGAUUAUUGGAAAACAUUAUUUUUGUUUUAAAAAUGUCUUUAGAUUUUGUGGCUGCCACAGCACAAACCAGGAUGUUUCUGUAGCCGAUUUCAUCCUUUUUCAGUGAUAAAAGAUCCAUGUAGUGCCUAUCGUGAGAGACAAAACUUUAUUGCAAUAACUGAAAUUUUAUACGAAUUAAAAAUCAGACCGGUCUGAGCUUAAACGUUUCAAAGAAGCAAAUUAAAGACCCUGGCUAUAUCCUUUAAGAGGUUUAUUUGUUGUGAAAAUCUAAUGGUCACUUUGAUGCCCCCACAUUUUAUCGUGGUUAGACCUUCCACAGCUCCGUUCAACUGGCAACCAUUCAGCUGGGCUUAGCAGAGGGAUGUCUAUUGUUGGAUCUUGUGUGGGUACGUUCAUUCCGGUCAAGUCACAAGGUUAAAUCGUGAAGGGUAGUCCUGCUUGAGGGCACCCACCACCCCACAGUAGAUACACACACUGUUAAAUAUGAGUCUGUUCAUACGCCACCGGUGCCUCUGCAUGCCAAGGUUAAUACUACUGAGAGAUGUUGUGCCUUUGUGUGUGUGAGUAUGUGUGUGUGUGAGAGAGAGAGACCUUUUAAGUGGAAAAGUGACUCAAAAUAAUGAAUGGCAAAUAAUAAAAAUAAUACUGAGUGAAGACCCAACUCAAUAAAAUAAAUGGGCACGAGGGAUCUGAUAAAGGGAUAUUAAGCAGUUUGUGGAAUGGAAAUCAAACGCGAGGGCUUCAUAAUUAUGUGUGCGUUUGUACUAUUCAGGAGAAGCUUGUGAAUAGUAGAAUCUGUCACUAGCUCAGCCGUUGGACAUAAAGACUAAUUACACAAGCAGUCAGUAGAGGGCAGUGUUGGCAUUCUUAGUCAUGAACUAGUCGAACGAGCACGGAAAAUCCCGCUGCCUUUGCUCGUGCGCCUUUUUUUGGCCCCGAAGGUCGAACAGUAGCCUUAAAACGCGACUAAGUACCACAAACUGCAACUAACGUACUUCAAUCUAUUAUACAUCUCUGCACAACGGCACUGGAGUAUAUGAAAUCGCACUAGGCCUAUUUAUCAGUAUAUCGAAUUAUCCGGUCUAUUAAACAGUAUCGUCCGCUGAGGCCCAUUUCUGUAUAUCAAAUUAUAAUAGGCCUAUCCGUGAGCAUAUUAUGUAAAUAGGUCUAAAUGUGAAAACGCUGAACACUGAAACAUGAAAGAACUUUGCAUCCUCAAUGUGCUCUUAUUCACAUGAUGCCAGCUAUGGGGGAGGCCUAAAUUAUGCCCCCCGCUUAGUGUAGUGUUUCCAGGUUCCCUGAAGAAAGACCAUAAAUACGCAGGGGCAGCUCUGAUAUAGCCUUGUUCACCAUGACACCCCCCCCCCCCCCAAAAAAGAAGACAUCCCAGACCACAGACCCCCUGCUGAUCCUGACCAGAAACCUCAGAUCCACACCAAAACAGAAAGUGAUUGUUUUUUUGUCUCUUUUUAAUUUUUUUUUGUUUUGGUUUUUUCUUAAAAAGAGAUGAGUUUAUUCCAUGAUCAUAACAGACACACAGCUUUUCCUUCAUACCGCCUCAGUCACUGACACAUCAACUGGUAAUCAGGAAAAAUAAAACACAAAAACCGAGAAAAAAAAAAAAAGGAAAAAAAAAAACCUGAAUGAACCAAACAGUGGCCGAGCCACACCUCGGUUUUCUUCUGUUGAAUAGAUAUCUAUGGCACAUAACAUCCAACUGUCACCACUGAAACGAAAACAAAAA
Molecule: long non-coding RNA, 2760 nt
Organism: Anguilla rostrata (American eel)
Lineage: Eukaryota; Metazoa; Chordata; Actinopteri; Anguilliformes; Anguillidae
Exons: 2
Source: RefSeq, a predicted model, not a curated record